This is a non-coding RNA of Pelobates cultripes (western spadefoot toad), 222 nucleotides long. Lineage: Eukaryota; Metazoa; Chordata; Amphibia; Anura; Pelobatidae. The record is from the annotation of a GenBank genome assembly.
CCCACAUCUACACCACUGAGUCGCCGAACACGGAGAAUCAGUCCACUGGAGCGCAUAAAUCUAAACACCAUUCCAGCAAGAAGAAGGAGGAGAAGCCCAGGAGCUGAGGCAGGAGUUCCGGGAAUGGAGACAAGCAGAGGAGCGUCCCAAGUUGUUGUAGGAGGAGGCUGGCCCACGCCGCUCAUGGAUUGUGGCUUGGGGCCCAGUCGGCAUGGAACACGU